CGGUUAAGUUAGAAAGGGCGCACGGUGGAUGCCUUGGCACUAGGAGCCGAUGAAGGACGGGACGAACACCGAUAUGCUUCGGGGAGCUGUAAGCAAGCUUUGAUCCGGAGAUUUCCGAAUGGGGAAACCCACCACUCGUAAUGGAGUGGUAUCCAUAUCUGAAUUCAUAGGAUAUGAGAAGGCAGACCCGGGGAACUGAAACAUCUAAGUACCCGGAGGAAGAGAAAGCAAAUGCGAUUCCCUGAGUAGCGGCGAGCGAAACGGGAUCAGCCCAAACCAAGAGGCUUGCCUCUUGGGGUUGUAGGACACUCUGUACGGAGUUACAAAAGAACGAGGUAGAUGAAGAGGUCUGGAAAGGCCCGCCAUAGGAGGUAACAGCCCUGUAGUCAAAACUUCGUUCUCUCCUGAGUGGAUCCUGAGUACGGCGGAACACGUGAAAUUCCGUCGGAAUCCGGGAGGACCAUCUCCCAAGGCUAAAUACUCCCUAGUGACCGAUAGUGAACCAGUACCGUGAGGGAAAGGUGAAAAGCACCCCGGAAGGGGAGUGAAAGAGAUCCUGAAACCGUGUGCCUACAAGUAGUCAGAGCCCGUUAACGGGUGAUGGCGUGCCUUUUGUAGAAUGAACCGGCGAGUUACGAUCCCGUGCAAGGUUAAGCAGAAGAUGCGGAGCCGCAGCGAAAGCGAGUCUGAAUAGGGCGCAUGAGUACGUGGUCGUAGACCCGAAACCAGGUGAUCUACCCAUGUCCAGGGUGAAGUUCAGGUAACACUGAAUGGAGGCCCGAACCCACGCACGUUGAAAAGUGCGGGGAUGAGGUGUGGGUAGGGGUGAAAUGCCAAUCGAACCUGGAGAUAGCUGGUUCUCUCCGAAAUAGCUUUAGGGCUAGCCUCAAGGUAAGAGUCUUGGAGGUAGAGCACUGAUUGGACUAGGGGCCCCUACCGGGUUACCGAAUUCAGUCAAACUCCGAAUGCCAAUGACUUAUCCUUGGGAGUCAGACUGCGAGUGAUAAGAUCCGUAGUCGAAAGGGAAACAGCCCAGACCGCCAGCUAAGGUCCCAAAGUAUACGUUAAGUGGAAAAGGAUGUGGAGUUGCUUAGACAACCAGGAUGUUGGCUUAGAAGCAGCCACCAUUUAAAGAGUGCGUAAUAGCUCACUGGUCGAGUGACUCUGCGCCGAAAAUGUACCGGGGCUAAACGUAUCACCGAAGCUGCGGACUGUUCUUCGAACAGUGGUAGGAGAGCGUUCUAAGGGCUGUGAAGCCAGACCGGAAGGACUGGUGGAGCGCUUAGAAGUGAGAAUGCCGGUAUGAGUAGCGAAAGAGGGGUGAGAAUCCCCUCCACCGAAUGCCUAAGGUUUCCUGAGGAAGGCUCGUCCGCUCAGGGUUAGUCGGGACCUAAGCCGAGGCCGAAAGGCGUAGGCGAUGGACAACAGGUUGAUAUUCCUGUACCACCUCCUCACCAUUUGAGCAAUGGGGGGACGCAGGAGGAUAGGGUAAGCGCGGUAUUGGAUAUCCGCGUCCAAGCAGUUAGGCUGGGAAAUAGGCAAAUCCGUUUCCCAUAAGGCUGAGCUGUGAUGGCGAGCGAAAUAUAGUAGCGAAGUUCCUGAUUCCACACUGCCAAGAAAAGCCUCUAGCGAGGUGAGAGGUGCCCGUACCGCAAACCGACACAGGUAGGCGAGGAGAGAAUCCUAAGGUGAUCGAGAGAACUCUCGUUAAGGAACUCGGCAAAAUGACCCCGUAACUUCGGGAGAAGGGGUGCUCUGUUAGGGUGCAAGCCCGAGAGAGCCGCAGUGAAUAGGCCCAGGCGACUGUUUAGCAAAAACACAGGUCUCUGCGAAGCCGUAAGGCGAAGUAUAGGGGCUGACGCCUGCCCGGUGCUGGAAGGUUAAGAGGAGCGCUUAGCGUAAGCGAAGGUGCGAAUUGAAGCCCCAGUAAACGGCGGCCGUAACUAUAACGGUCCUAAGGUAGCGAAAUUCCUUGUCGGGUAAGUUCCGACC
RNAcentral lists this ribosomal RNA (1992 nucleotides) under Bacillus subtilis. RNAcentral's name for it is "bacterial LSU rRNA". It matches the Rfam family "Bacterial large subunit ribosomal RNA", at positions 1 to 1988 of the family's 2925-position model. Lineage: Bacteria; Bacillati; Bacillota; Bacilli; Caryophanales; Bacillaceae. The record is from RNAcentral.